Molecule: long non-coding RNA, 1642 nt
Filed under: Homo sapiens (human)
Lineage: Eukaryota; Metazoa; Chordata; Mammalia; Primates; Hominidae
Description: HSALNT0247896
Source: RNAcentral
UCUGUAAUUUUUCUUUCAAUAUUUUUGGACUGUGGUUGACCAUGGGUAACUGAAACCCUAGUGGGGACUACUGUAAUCCCAUUCAUGAGGCUUCAAGUUCCUGGCCUAAUCACCUCCCAACAACCCCACCUCUUAAUACCAUCACGAUGGGAUCUGGGUUUCAAUAUAUGAAUUUUGGUGGAACACAAACAUUGUGACCAUAGCAGGCAGGAAGUAGUAAACUCCAAUCAUAAUUCCAGAUAUUCUUUUAUUUCUGAUAAUUUCUAAUGAAACUACUUCUUGCUACAAACACUGAUUCCCAGGCAGAGUUUUCUAUCUUGGUUUUCAAAGAAGUGCAACAUGUUCCAUGUACAUCCCAGGACAUUCUAGUUCAACAUGUAUCAUGUGUACAUAAUCUGUAAAUAGCUCCAGAAAGACAUUUUCUCUGUCAAUAAAUAGUAAUAAUGUCAAAGUGAUUUGGAGCUCGUUAGGCAAUUCCUUCUAAAGAGUGAUGGAACUGAGGCCCAGAAUCUGAGUGAUCAUGUUCAUACUCAAUCUUUAAGAAACUGUAAGGAAAAUGACUUGGAACCACAGAAACCAAAGGAAGAAGAAUGAGUUUUGAAUACAGCAAGAGGAGUUUAAACGGAGAUUCCUCCCCAGUAUUGGAAGAGCCGUAGCAUAGAACCAACUUCACUGCCUACUGCUCAGUCAGGGAAAUGAACAAGAAGCUGUUUUGCUGGACUGGGGCUGUGUGCAUUGAAUGAAGGCUGCUGCUCUCAUUCAAGGUGUCCUGGAGUACCUCACCGGCCUGGAUGCAGAGGUGGCAGAGCACACAGGGCUGAGGGCUUCUAAGGAGAUGGGAAGCAGGUGCAGAACCACACUUUCAUUCUGCCAGGGAGAGUCCUUCUCAUUGCUCUGGGGGUGGGCCUUGUGGUUUUUCUUGACCCUCAGUGCUGAUUUCCAGUGAGCUGAAUGAACACAGUCCUUAGAGGGCCUGGGGCUCCAGGGUGUCCCAGGAUGACCAUUCCAGGGGGCAGAGUUGGAAAGACAGUGGCACCUGUUGCUGGCACAUUCAGUCUGCCCCUCUGCGAUUCUAUUCUCCUCCACUUUGGUAGCUGAAAUGAUCUCUUCUCUUCUAGUUUCCCUGUCAAGAUGAUUCUUAAAACAGCCCAUAGCCAUCAUGUAAGCUUGAUGCAAAUAUAAAUUAAUGAGUUCCUAGGACCAGGCAUUCAGAACUUCCAGCAUGGGGAGGGUGUGUGGAAGGGGACAAUGCCUUGGAAGUUCCAGAGAGCAAGGUUUAUUGCCAUGUAGAUUUCUGAAUGAGUCCUGCCUCUCUGAGGAGUCUGGGUUCUCUCCAAGAAUCCUUGUCUGACCAAGACCCUGAUAGAGCUCAUACCUUUCACAGUACAGAGUCCAGCGUUGACUCAGGCUGGCUGUGGACUCUGAGAUGGUCCUGUUGGGUUCAGAUCUCCAAGGCAGCUCUGGACCUAUAAGGAUGUGGACGGGGUGUCUGCGCUUUGCCAGCUCGGAAUAGCAAGGGAUGAACCCACUCAGUGAGGGUAUCAGCUCCACAGCUGAGAAAGAGAGGCCCUCGAGGGGGUGCGGAGGUGAUGGUUUUGGCUUCUCUGGUUUCUGCUUCCCCAUUCCAACACCUUCAACUCAG